UACGGAGGGUGCAAGCGUUGCUCGGAUUCACUGGGCGUAAAGCGUCCGCAGGCGGCUGGGCAGGUCCGAUGUGAAAGCCCGGGGCUCAACCCCGGAAUUGCAUUGGAAACCGCUCAGCUUGAGUACGGGAGAGGGCGGUGGAAUUCCUGGUGUAGAGGUGAAAUUCGUAGAUAUCAGGAGGAACACCUGCGGCGAAGGCGGCCGCCUGGCCCGAUACUGACGCUCAUGGACGAAAGCGUGGGGAGCAAACAGG
RNAcentral lists this ribosomal RNA (253 nucleotides) under uncultured bacterium. RNAcentral's name for it is "partial 16S ribosomal RNA". It matches the Rfam family "Bacterial small subunit ribosomal RNA", at positions 524 to 776 of the family's 1533-position model. The record is from RNAcentral.